GAUGAACGCUGGCGGCGUGCCUAAUACAUGCAAGUCGAGCGAACAGAUGAGGAGCUUGCUCCUCUGACGUUAGCGGCGGACGGGUGAGUAACACGUGGAUAACCUACCUAUAAGACUGGGAUAACUUCGGGAAACCGGAGCUAAUACCGGAUAAUAUAUUGAACCGCAUGGUUCAAUAGUGAAAGACGGUUUUGCUGUCACUUAUAGAUGGAUCCGCGCCGCAUUAGCUAGUUGGUAAGGUAACGGCUUACCAAGGCAACGAUGCGUAGCCGACCUGAGAGGGUGAUAGGCCACACUGGAACUGAGACACGGUCCAGACUCCUACGGGAGGCAGCAGUAGGAAAUCUGCCGCAAUGGGCGAAAGCCUGACGGAGCAACGCCGCGUGAGUGAUGAAGGUCUUCGGUUCGUAAAACUCUGUUAUUAGGGAAGAACAAAUGUGUAAGUAACUAUGCACGUCUUGACGGUACCUAAUCAGAAAGCCACGGCUAACUACGU
Molecule: ribosomal RNA, 496 nt
Filed under: uncultured bacterium
Lineage: Bacteria
Description: partial 16S ribosomal RNA
Rfam family: Bacterial small subunit ribosomal RNA
Source: RNAcentral